UGGCCAGAUGUAGCCUAACCAGAGUUUUAUAAAGUUGCAACAUAACCCCUCCACAUUUGAACUCAAUGCCUCGACUAAUAAGAAAGCAUUCUAUAUAAACCUUCUCUGCCACCUAUCGACCCGUGUAGCCACUUUCCAGGAGCUGUGAACUUGGAUCCCGAGAUCUCCCUGCUCAGCAACAUCUUUAAGGACCAGUGUACCGAGUCCUGGUAUUUGCCGUACCGAAAUGCGACACCUCACAUUUAUCUGGGUUAAACUCCAUCUGCCAUUUCUCAGCCCGUAGCUACAACAUCUGUAUCACGCUGUACUUUUUCCCUGUCUUCCCCACUGUCCACAACUCCACCAACCUUGGCGUCAUCCGCAAACUUACUAACGCACCCUUCCACAUUUCCAUCCAGGUCGUUUACAUACAUCACAAACUGUAAAGGUCCCAGCGCAGAUCCCAACGGAACGCCGCUAACUACAGACCUCCAGACAGUGACCGCGCUGAUGCCGGCAGCAAUUCCCGUUGCCAGCAAGUUAAGCCAGAAAUGAAAAUUCCUGCAUCGAGCAGCCAACUCUUACUCAGACACAAAAUGCUGAAGGACAAAUAGCUUUGCUGUUACAUCAGCUGAAUUCACGCACGGACCAAAAGAUGAGAAGACUGCAGUCAGCACCAUUCGAUGCCUAUUAAAGAUGUCUCAGAUGUUAAACAAUGUAACAUUCUGAAUGCUGGGUGGUGGGGGUGGGCUGCCAAUGAAUUUCCUAUUGACUCUUAACAUAAUUAUGUCAGGAGAAACUAACCAGACUCGGUCCUGCAAGCACAUUUACAGAAGCAGGUGUGUGAUAAGGACCCAGAGGAUCAUCAGGAACUCCGGCCACCCCAACCACAAAGUUUUUCAGCUGCUACCAUCUGGCAAACAGUACCACAACAGUAAGACCAGGACCAACAGGCUAUGGGACAGCUUCUUUCACCAGGCCAUCAUAAUUUAUCAAUACGUAUUAAUCUGAUUGCAUAUCUGACUACAUACAUGUAUACAAACCAGUUACGUGUACAAUUUUAGUGUUUGGGCAAUAUCCUCCCACAAUUCCCCUUCUUAUUGCAUUGUGACGGAGAUGCAACAUAAAGAUUUUCACUUCCUUGGAUGUAAGA
Hypanus sabinus (Atlantic stingray) is the source of this 1132-nucleotide long non-coding RNA. RefSeq lists it as uncharacterized. Lineage: Eukaryota; Metazoa; Chordata; Chondrichthyes; Myliobatiformes; Dasyatidae. The transcript has 4 exons. The record is from RefSeq and is a predicted model, not a curated record.